CUGAAUCAAAUAAAUGGAUCUCAAACGUUUCUCAAUAGAGUUUAUCCAUUUAUCGAUGUUAGGGAUGUUGCUAAUGUACAUAUUCAAGCAUUUGAAGUUGCUUCAGCUAGUGGAAGAUACUGUGUAGCAGGACCUGUUGUACAUAUCUUAGAGUCUUUGAAGAUUAUACAACACCUAUACCCUUCUUUGACCAUUCCUGACAGAUGUGAAGAUAAUGAGCCUCUCAAGCCAAAGUACCAAGUUUCAAAUUUGAAAGCAAAAAGCUUGGGAAUUAACUUCAUUCCCUUGGAAGUGAGUCCAAGGGACACUGUAGAGAGCUUCAGGAAGAAGGGUCUUUUAAACAUCUAGUAUAGACCACUCACUGGCUAUACAUAGUAGAGUAUUUUGUACUGUACUGUUGUGCUGCUGGUUCUAAAGCUGUGAGCUUGUGUGCGGUCUAAAACUCAUCAAUGUAAGUGACAUCUGUGCUUUGAUGAGGCAAGUUUUUUCAGGAAUUCAAUCAUUUUUCUUUUCUUCAUAGUAAAAUUCCCACAUUUAAAUUUCUCA
Long non-coding RNA from Humulus lupulus (European hop), 546 nucleotides. RefSeq lists it as uncharacterized. The transcript has 3 exons. NCBI's taxonomy places the organism in Eukaryota, Viridiplantae, Streptophyta, Magnoliopsida, Rosales, Cannabaceae. The record is from RefSeq and is a predicted model, not a curated record.